GAAAAAAUAAGAAAAAUAAAUAUCUAACAACAUUCCAGCCAUCUACCAUCACAGGCAUCCAGAAAAUUCUGCAAUCACUGCAGUCUCAAACUUAAACAGGCAUUUAAAUUUCUUCUCAAGAUUGAUGCUUCAAUAUAAUAUCACCACAAACAUUUCAAUGGCAUUCAGGUGUGUUAGAACAUCCAACUAAAAGCUUACACCAGCAGAUGGUGAAGACUGCAGUAAACGGCUUACUUCAUUCUGAAUCCGUCUUCGAGCCAUUCAACAGGUUGCACAUUUCAUUCAUGAAAUCAACAAAAAUAACUCAUUAAUCUGACUAGAACAUAAAAUAAUUGGCAAACGUGAUAACCCACCACACAUCACUUUUCUUCAGGGAAAGACUUUGCUUUUGUGAAACUGGAAGUCACUGUGGUUUACCAUAGCCUAGUUGGAAAAGCAAGUUAAAAAAAUAAAAUAGAAAUUAGCUGCUUGCCUAAUCAGGGUAUGGGUACAACAUCCAAUCAACUUUGAAUUAUAC
RNAcentral lists this unclassified non-coding RNA (517 nucleotides) under Hevea brasiliensis (rubber tree). Lineage: Eukaryota; Viridiplantae; Streptophyta; Magnoliopsida; Malpighiales; Euphorbiaceae. The record is from RNAcentral.